CAGCACUCCAGAUGUUUUGGACUAUACCUUCUAUGAUGGGCGUAAGAGCAUUAUAGGGGAUGUAGUCCACUACAUCUGGAGUGCCG
Pelobates cultripes (western spadefoot toad) is the source of this 86-nucleotide non-coding RNA. The record is from the annotation of a GenBank genome assembly. NCBI's taxonomy places the organism in Eukaryota, Metazoa, Chordata, Amphibia, Anura, Pelobatidae.